Molecule: transfer RNA, 66 nt
Filed under: Gyrodactylus salaris (gyrodactylosis fluke)
Lineage: Eukaryota; Metazoa; Platyhelminthes; Monogenea; Gyrodactylidea; Gyrodactylidae
Description: tRNA-Thr
Source: RNAcentral
GUCUAGUUAGUUUUAUAGUAAAACAUGGUUUUUGUAAUACCAAGUAAUCUGUAUAGGUACUAGGCU